CGUAGUAAUAGUCUAGUGGCGACCGGGUGCGUAACACGUAGCUGACCUGCCCCUCAGCGGGGGACAACAGCCCGAAAGGGCUGCUAAUACCGCAUAACGUCGAGGAAGUUAAGAAACUUGACUAAACUUACGGGGCUGAGGGAGGGGGCUGCGGCCCAUCAGGUAGUUGGUGAGGUAACGGCUCACCAAGCCAACGACGGGUAGGGGGCCUGAGAGGGUGGUCCCCCACACUGGAACUGACAAACGGUCCAG
This 252-nucleotide ribosomal RNA is filed under the name uncultured bacterium. Its description in RNAcentral is "partial 16S ribosomal RNA". It matches the Rfam family "Bacterial small subunit ribosomal RNA", at positions 80 to 334 of the family's 1533-position model. The record is from RNAcentral.